RNAcentral lists this unclassified non-coding RNA (355 nucleotides) under uncultured Chytridiomycota. RNAcentral's name for it is "sequence contains ITS1". The stretch from base 1 to 105 matches the Rfam family "5.8S ribosomal RNA", at positions 50 to 154 of the family's 154-position model. Lineage: Eukaryota; Fungi; Chytridiomycota. The record is from RNAcentral.
GAAAUGCGAUAAGUAAUGUGAAUUGCAGAAUUCCGUGAAUCAUUAAAUCUUUGAACGCACAUUGCGCCCUCUGGUAUUCCUAAGGGCAUGCCUGUUCGAGAAUCAGUUUAACCAUCAAGUCUAUUGGGUAAAAUCAAUGGCACUUGGACUUGAGGCCUCUGGAGUUAUCCAGAGUCUCUAAUAACAUUUGUUGCCUAGCUCGAAUGAGACUAUGUGAAAGGCAUGACCAUUGAACGAAAGUUCUUCGAUUGCUCCGAUCAUACGUUGAGUUUGUUUUAGUGCACAUUAAAUUUCACGAGGAGUAAAAUCCUUAAGACUUGAUCUCGAAUCAGACAAGACUACCCGCUGAACUUAA